Molecule: ribosomal RNA, 361 nt
Filed under: uncultured bacterium
Lineage: Bacteria
Description: bacterial SSU rRNA
Rfam family: Bacterial small subunit ribosomal RNA
Source: RNAcentral
AGCGGGCCUCUCCAUGGAAGCUCGCGCUCGAGGAUGAGCCUGCGGCCCAUCAGCUAGUUGGUGAGGUAAGAGCUCACCAAGGCCGAGACGGGUAGCUGGUCUGAGAGGAUGAGCAGCCACACUGGAACUGAGAUACGGUCCAGACUCCUACGGGAGGCAGCAGUGGGGAAUCUUGCGCAAUGGGCGAAAGCCUGACGCAGCGACGCCGCGUGAGCGAUGAAGGCCCUCGGGUCGUAAAGCUCUGUGGGGAGGGAAGAAUGAGCGUAGGCCAAUACCCUACGUGAUGACGGUACCUCCUUAGCAAGCACCGGCUAACUCUGUGCCAGCAGCCGCGGUAAGACAGAGGGUGCAAACGUUGUUC